AAAAUCUCGCUCGAGAGCUCUCUAAGAAGAGACAGUCACCUGGGUGGGCUGUAACGCACCUACAAAUGCCGACAGUGCAGCAGCUUUAAUCUGUCGUAGCGCUCCUAGUCGAGUGGAGAGCCGUGUCGCUAAUGACGAUGUAGUGAGGGCAUGUGGUGAGGGCCGACGACAAAUAACGGCAUUCCAAGGCUCGCGGCCACGGCAAAAACAUUAAACCACUCACAGUGUGAGGGCGCUGCUCCAGCUUACUUGCUCUGAGUGAUAUUCACCACCCCCAUGCAUGUAGGCACGUACCCAAGCCCCCACGUCCCGUGGAAGCUGAGUGUGCGUUGUCCGGCUGUCCGACCCCAUUACGGGCACGGUCAUUUCUUGGGCAGGUCCUCGGUGCAAUGCCGACUGCGUACGCUGUGAGCGUGUCGCUGCGUUGUGUGCUGGUUCGUGGCAGACUGGCAGUGCCAUGGGUCGUACCUCCAAGUGGGGUGUCGGCCAGCGCAGUCUUAUAUCCGCGAACAACGCCUGGCGCGUCGGUUCGCGGAUCGUUUCUGUAAUGCAUGUACAACGAG
RNAcentral lists this long non-coding RNA (563 nucleotides) under Chlamydomonas reinhardtii. RNAcentral's name for it is "long non-coding RNA (CREI_LNC000522)". The record is from RNAcentral. Lineage: Eukaryota; Viridiplantae; Chlorophyta; Chlorophyceae; Chlamydomonadales; Chlamydomonadaceae.